This 76-nucleotide transfer RNA is filed under the name Heterocephalus glaber (naked mole-rat). It matches the Rfam family "tRNA". Rfam says of the family: Transfer RNA (tRNA) molecules are approximately 80 nucleotides in length. Lineage: Eukaryota; Metazoa; Chordata; Mammalia; Rodentia; Bathyergidae. The record is from Rfam by way of RNAcentral.
GAGGGUAUAGCUCAGUGGUAGAGCACAUGCUUGACAUACAUGUAUGUGGCUCUGGGUUCAAUCUCCAGCACCAAUA